GACGAACGCUGGCGGCGUGCCUAACACAUGCAAGUGGAGCGACGAACCAGGGCUUGCCCUGGGGCCAAGCCGCGAACGGGUGAGUAACACGUGGGUAACCUGCCCCGAUGACCGGGACAACCCGAGGAAACUCGGGCUAAUACCGGAUGUGGUGGACACACUUAAGUGUGUCCACUAAAGGAAGCUUCGGCCUCCGCAUUGGGAUGGGCCCGCGGCCCAUUAGCUAGUUGGUGGGGUAAAGGCCUACCAAGGCAACGAUGGGUAGCUGGUCUGAGAGGACGAUCAGCCACACUGGGACUGAGACACGGCCCAGACUCCUACGGGAGGCAGCAGUGGGGAAUCUUGCGCAAUGCGCGAAAGCGUGACGCAGCAACGCCGCGUGAGGGAAGACGGCCUCGG
This 399-nucleotide ribosomal RNA is filed under the name uncultured bacterium. RNAcentral's name for it is "bacterial SSU rRNA". It matches the Rfam family "Bacterial small subunit ribosomal RNA", at positions 28 to 420 of the family's 1533-position model. The record is from RNAcentral.